Long non-coding RNA from Salvia splendens (bonfire salvia), 759 nucleotides. RefSeq lists it as uncharacterized. Lineage: Eukaryota; Viridiplantae; Streptophyta; Magnoliopsida; Lamiales; Lamiaceae. The transcript is spliced from 2 exons. The record is from RefSeq and is a predicted model, not a curated record.
UAUCUGACCAUAUUCCACAUAAUUAAAUUUUGGUAGGGGCUCUUCUAAGAAACUAUGACCAAAAUGUGGGCUAUUCAAUUGUGAAAUCAAGAUAUAAGUAACACCCCACAAGAUUUACUCAUUCCUUCAAAACUACUCCCUAAUUUGAUACUGGUUCAAGUGAAUAACGACAAAAAAGGACCACGAGAUUAUAUUAGCUAAAUAUGCAGCAGAAAAUUCCAAAUCAAAAUGCUACAUAAUGUGUAUAUUAAUAGAGAUAUGAUAGAGAAUUAAGUAGCGUGUCAGUGAUGAGUCCUAAGAGCAUCCACUAUGGAUAGGCGCGGCGGUAGCCGCGAGGCGCGGCGGUGGGGCGGCGGAUUAUAGUGGAGAAGGUGUCCGGCCCGGGGGUGGACGCGGCGAGGGGGGGGAGACGCGGCGGACGCGCGAUAGCCGUGUGCGCGGCGAUGUCACGGCGAGGGGUCUAUAGCCGCGCCUAUAGGCGCGGCGGCUAUAGUGGAGUGCACCGCCGCGGCGAAUUCGCCGGUCCCGAGAAAUCUCUCCUUUGAGCUUCUCUGCUGCUAAUUUACUGUAUAUGAAGGUGUUGGCAUGGCUGUGGAGCUAAAAGAAGACGAGAAGGAGGAGAAGGAGGUGAAGAAGAAGACGACGAGGAAGCCGACUCCGACACCGAGUAGGCGGUGGUGGAUUUUUUAGUUGUAUUUUAUUUUACAUAUUCGUUGUAAAAUUUUACCGGUUUGAAAUACAACGAAUAUUCGGCCCUAA